AAUAGAUACCCCGGUAGUCCACGCCGUAAACGAUGAGUGCUAAGUGUUAGAGGGUUUCCGCCCUUUAGUGCUGCAGCUAACGCAUUAAGCACUCCGCCUGGGGAGUACGGCCGCAAGGCUGAAACUCAAAGGAAUUGACGGGGGCCCGCACAAGCGGUGGAGCAUGUGGUUUAAUUCGAAGCAACGCGAAGAACCUUACCAGGUCUUGACAUCCUCUGACAACCCUAGAGAUAGGGCGUUCCCCUUCGGGGGACAGAGUGACAGGUGGUGCAUGGUUGUCGUCAGCUCGUGUCGUGAGAUGUUGGGUUAAGUCCCGCAACGAGCGCAACCCUUGAUCUUAGUUGCCAGCAUUCAGUUGGGCACUCUAAGGUGACUGCCGGUGACAAACCGGAGGAAGGUGGGGAUGACGUCAAAUCAUCAUGCCCCUUAUGACCUGGGCUACACACGUGCUACAAUGGAUGGUACAAAGAGCUGCGAACCCGCGAGGGUAAGCGAAUCUCAUAAAGCCAUUCUCAGUUCGGA
This 522-nucleotide ribosomal RNA is filed under the name uncultured bacterium. Its description in RNAcentral is "bacterial SSU rRNA". It matches the Rfam family "Bacterial small subunit ribosomal RNA", at positions 777 to 1297 of the family's 1533-position model. The record is from RNAcentral.